UACGGAGGAUCCGAGCGUUAUCCGGAUUUAUUGGGUUUAAAGGGUGCGCAGGCGGGAGAUUAAGUCGGCGGUGAAAUUUUGCAGCUCAACUGUAAAAGUGCCUUCGAAACUGGUUUCCUUGAGUGUGGAUGAAGUAGGCGGAAUUUGUGGUGUAGCGGUGAAAUGCAUAGAUAUCACGAGGAACUCCGAUUGCGCAGGCAGCUUACUAAACUACUACUGACGCUCAUGCACGAAGGCGUGGGGAUCAAACAGGAUUAGAUACUGGUA
Molecule: ribosomal RNA, 267 nt
Filed under: uncultured prokaryote
Description: partial 16S ribosomal RNA
Rfam family: Bacterial small subunit ribosomal RNA
Source: RNAcentral